UGGGGUGAAGCCGAUCUGGAAGGCAGCGGUCUCCAAAGCCGUCUCAUAGCGGGUUCGAAUCCCGUCACCCCUGCCA
RNAcentral lists this transfer RNA (76 nucleotides) under Mycobacterium phage Drazdys. Its description in RNAcentral is "tRNA-Trp". It matches the Rfam family "tRNA". Rfam says of the family: Transfer RNA (tRNA) molecules are approximately 80 nucleotides in length. Their secondary structure includes four short double-helical elements and three loops (D, anti-codon, and T loops). Further hydrogen bonds mediate the characteristic L-shaped molecular structure. tRNAs have two regions of fundamental functional importance: the anti-codon, which is responsible for specific mRNA codon recognition, and the 3' end, to which the tRNAs corresponding amino acid is attached (by aminoacyl-tRNA synthetases). tRNAs cope with the degeneracy of the genetic code in two manners: having more than one tRNA (with a specific anti-codon) for a particular amino acid; and 'wobble' base-pairing, i.e. permitting non-standard base-pairing at the 3rd anti-codon position. RNAcentral also lists the same sequence under 17 other names. Lineage: Duplodnaviria; Heunggongvirae; Uroviricota; Caudoviricetes. The record is from RNAcentral.